This 1375-nucleotide long non-coding RNA is filed under the name Homo sapiens (human). Its description in RNAcentral is "long non-coding RNA NONHSAT067900.2". The record is from RNAcentral. Lineage: Eukaryota; Metazoa; Chordata; Mammalia; Primates; Hominidae.
CGCAGCUCUCACAACUCAGAUCUUAGCAAUUGGAACAGAACAGGUUGUCACUGCUGAAGGACCAAGCAGAACAACGGUUUCAGGAAGCUUUAGCUCUAAAUCCCAGUAGAUGUAGAGCAGGUGCAGAGCUCUGGGGACUCUCAAAGCACUUUUAACUCUGGUUAAGUGUCAGAAUUGCAUUUAGACAUCAACACAUUUAUAUUCCUUGAUUCUUUCUUCUCCCUAAGCCUUAAACAUAUAGUCACCUUUUAUCAAAAAGAUAUUUUAUUUGUCUAAAUGGAAGAUAUAGUUUACUUUCUUCACACAGAUGCCAGAAAUUUUCUAUGAACGUAAAAUCUUUGGUGCAAUCAAGUGCAUACUGCUUCCCAGAUCCUACAAGAAAGGAGAUUAAGGUGUAGAAUUUUACACUCAUCACAGAAAGUUUUCAGAGACUAACUGGCAUCACCAACCAAAACACAACAUGCUAUCACCACAACUAUUUUUAAAUGUCUUAAGUAGUAGUUUCCAUUGGACAGCAGGUGUGUAAGCAGGAGCCAAGAGUGAAACACGCUCUUGCUCCUCUUCCUAGCAAGAGAGCAAAGACUGUGAGGUUUGGUGUAUUCAUCCAGAGAGAGUGUUUUAAAUGGGGCUAUGACAGAGAAGGUAGACGAGGUGUUGGGCAGCCCUGGACACCCUCAGAAAAUAUCCCUUCUUCAUGAAUUUAUUUUCUAUGUUCAGUUUUACACUAAAAGGUAAAAAAAAGUUAAAAAAAAGAAAAAAAAAGUCCACCCUAUAGUUUGUAUAACAAACAUUCUCACUUGUUCAUGCUGUAUUCAACGUCGAGCCCAUUUUCUUUCCCCUACUACAAAAUCCCACCGCUGGGGUCCUGGUACCUACAGUGAUGGUUCUGAAUAAAGCCCUCCUUACUCUGCUUUGAUAAAGGUCACCGGGUAAUCUUUCUCUCAACGCCUUGCCCAGCUGGCCCAGGGCUCCAAGAAAGGGAAGGCCAGACCCCUGGCCUCUGCCCUGGUUACUCACAGGGACAUCUGUGAAUAUCUGCUGCUGCCCCAUCUGGCCCCGGUGAGGCUGCUCCUCCCUUUCACGUUGGGCCCCACUGCAGCCUCCUGGUGUUCACCGCCAGGGCACACCCCAGGGGAACUGGGGUGGGAUCAUAAGCACAGGGUAGGCCCUCCCUCUCUGCCUGGCCACACUGCACUGCCAGGUGAAUUAAACAUGGCUCUUCCCCCAGGUGGUGCUUGGGGGCCCGUGCAGCAGGAGGGACAUCUUCUCCGCACAGCAAUGUUCCCAGAUCUCACCACCCUGAGUUCUGGCCCCUGCGUUGGGCGGAUCACCUGAGGUCGGGAGUUCAAGACCAGCCUGAGCAACAUGGAGAGCC